GGCAAAAGGGUAAAUCAUGAUUCAUGGGUAAUAUGUACGACCUCUGCAGAGCGUUUAUUAAAACUGGUAUAAUAGUUGUGCUCAUGGUCACAAGCGGCCUUGGGGACAUCUACAUUAUGGGUGACCUUGUUGAUAUAAUAUGCUCAUUAUUUAUUGUUUAAUGAUUUACAUUAUUUAUGUCACAUUGAUCAUGAGAUUGCGGGAUCUAUACAAUCUAGUUGCUAUACUUGUGGAGUUCGACACAGACUCACAAUUGCUAUUUCCCCCACACUUCAGGAGAUGUUUUAGGAUUCUGAUCAACCAGUCAGUCCGUUAUAUGUUUCCUAAGGUUCGCUCUGAUUUACUAAGUACAUUAUUAUACUUAUGCAUUGUCUUUUGAUAUUACCCCUUAUUUGUAGCUAUAUGCGAGAUUUGGCUUGUAAGACUCACAUAUGGUGCUUAUCUGAUUUUGUUCUUAAAAUUGGGUAUUACAAAGUGUUAGCUAAUUGAGCCUCAUGAACCCCUGGUUGUACUUGUUGAGUAUGAUAUGUGCUCAUUUAUGCUAUUUCUCACCACUCCAGUCUACUAGUAAGAGUAGAUCAGAAGAGUAAUGGAGUCAAGAAGGAUGUUCUCACAGAACUGUCAGAAGUGUUUGGCGUACGUAACCCCUAGUUAGACGUCCCUGUGAAGUUUGAGUCUAUAGUUUAGUUACCGUUCCGCGAUACUCUAAUAUAAGUGUUCAUAGUAUGUUCCCAUUGUAUAACAUUGUUUCUGAUACCAUUGCUUCUAUUGUUGUAUGUGUGAACAUCCUGGACACACAUAUGGCUAUCCUAGUUUUAUUCUUUAAGACUGGGUGUGACAUGGAGGCAUCAAUAUCCGUGCUCUUGCAGAUUUUUUUGUGUGCGUUUAAAAUGCCCAACAGUAACUUUUGUUUCAUAUUUUUAAGUGCCAUGAUUAUAAGAACAACCACAUUUCUUACAUUAUGUUAGGGAUUACAACCUAGCAGAGGCGGCGUAACAGAUGCCAACAAGAUCCACCAACUAAGGCAUAGCUAGAACAUAAGAAUAGGAAUUAGAGGAGUCAAGCAACGCCUGGAUCCUAGAUCUAGUCACAAGGAGGCUAGGUACAACCAUGUACUUCUCUCUUGUAUUAAACAUUAUUAAUCUAUUUGUGUUAUUUGUCUCCUAGUUCAUUGUGUUUGCCUUGUUGUUCAUGUUUUGAUUUUCUAGUUCAUAAUCUAGCUCGUCUAAUUCUUAUUUCAGUUUAUCUACACUACAAGAAUCUGCCAUCUUAUGACUUUUACCCCAUGACAUUAGACUAAAUAGUCACUACUUUGAUUAGUUUAUGAGUUCUUUUGUGGAGCCAACUUAGCUUAGUGACAUUAAUUAAUUUAUGUCAUAAAAAAGUCUUAAUGCUAGUAUAAUGGAAUAUCGUGACAUUAUUUAUCAUGUCAUAAUAACCAAUUUACUAUUAUCAUAUAGCAAAUGGUAUAUUGUUAUAAGUCACAAAAUAUUUUAUUAAUUUUUUUGAAACAUUAUAAUCCAGGUGGCAUAUGGGCCCACUUGACAAACUGGCACCAAUCAUGUGGGUCCUAUAGUCCAGUUUUUUUUUUUUUUUUUUUUUGCUGUUGACUUUUGAUUUUAGAAAGCUUGCUUGAUUGUCCGUUGAUUUGCAAUUGUGCCAUCUCUAUCGAUCUACAGAGCAUGUGCAGCAGGCUGGAGGGGUGGCCACUUCCUCAAGCUAGCAUUCAUCAUGGUGGGCAGGCUGCUGUGCCAUGUUGCUAUUGGUGAGCUUACAGGUUAUCAUUUAAGAGUUUUGUAAGUGCAAUCAAGCUCUAAGUAGGUGGUUUGCAAUGGCUUCAAGAGCGAGCUAUUUCUUUUGCCUUUUGAAAUUGAGUCAUAAGACAAGUCGUACUAUCAAGGGGGAUACUAAUAGUGGUUUGGGGUGCAACCAAGUGCUCAAUCUACCUUACUCAUCCCAAUCCUAUCUUCUCCCCUUCUAUGCCCAGAUUAGAUGACUUCCAUGAACCCACAAUUGAACCCAUCCUUCACUCAAAUAAAUCUUCUAAUGCUCUUUUUCCUAAACCUCCUGACAAUGUUACCAAUCCACCUAUUGUUGGCGGUUCUUAAUGACAUAUUUACCCCGCCAACAUAGUCCAUGCAAAGGAAGAAAAGCAUGUAUUUUACUCACACAUACUUAUUAAAUGCUUACCAAGUUCCACAUGUAGUGCAAGUUGUGUUUUGCAGAUCAUAUACAAGCAUACAGGUGGAAAGCAAAUAAAAAGGCGCAAUCCGACACGUCAAAAAAAUGCGCAAAUAAACAAGUACCCAAAAGCCCAAUAUAGAAGUGCAUCAAUUUGCAGGUGGAUCUGGACUCAGGGGCCCGAGAGGAAGGCAACGGGCUUCGGGCCGGGGCCAGCGGGGCCCACCAGGGGGCGGCCGCCCCCUAGGGUCGGCUGACCCUGACCCAGCCCAUCUCGGCACCGCCUUUCGCAGAGGCGGAUCUGAGCCUAUCCUCCCGCAGUCCCUGUGGUCAAAUUGCAGUUUACACCAUGGGGAACUGACCUUCCCCACCUAUUUAAGGAGGGGGAGAGGGAGGCUCCAUUCAUCUCAUCAUAUUCACAAUCAACACUCCACCUUCAAGGCACUUGGGCACCACCUCUUCUUAGUUUUUUCCUUUUAGCUUUUAGAUAGAGAGUUGGGUGAGCUAUCAAGGAGGGCUUGGCUCCAUGGAGAGAAACUUGGGUAUGAAUAAAGAAUAUCUUUACUCCAAGUCCAUGCCUUAUCAUGUCCGAUAUAGUUCUUCAUAUGAACUAGAGUAUAGUUCUUAUGCUAUGGUAUGACAUAGAUCAUAGGCCCUGUUUUAUUAUGCUAGCAUAUGAACUAGAAUAUAGUUCUAGUGAAAAUGAUAUGACAUACGUUUUAGUAUAUAGUUCUUAUAGUAUAAUGCUACCCUAGGGCUAGUAGUGUAUUAUAUGAACUAGUGCUAAGUGUAUGUUGUAUUAUUCGCACUUAGGACUUUAGUCUAAUUGCUUCAUGUUAAUUAAUUGCCUAGAAAUAGCUUUGUGUGAAGAUGGGGAUUUAUCAUGCUCUUUUGAGUAGGCUCGGGCUUUUUGCCUGUCGAUCCGUAGGGUCGGGGAGCCGGGGGAGUCCGAGUAGGUUCUUUGCAUGUAAGCAUGGUGCUUGGGUGUAAAGGCUGGGUAAAUGCAUUGUCCUAGUCCACGGUUGAGGGGAUGGCGGCAGGUGGUGACAGCCCUGUCCGUCCUUGGCAUUCCCCCACGUUCGGCUAG
Molecule: long non-coding RNA, 3268 nt
Filed under: Sorghum bicolor (sorghum)
Lineage: Eukaryota; Viridiplantae; Streptophyta; Magnoliopsida; Poales; Poaceae
Description: long non-coding RNA (SBIC_LNC008251)
Source: RNAcentral